UACAGAGGUCUCAAGCGUUGUUCGGAUUCAUUGGGCGUAAAGGGUGCGUAGGCGGCGCGGUAAGUCGGGUGUGAAAUCUCGGAGCUUAACUCCGAAACUGCAUUCGAUACUGCCGUGCUUGAGGACUGGAGAGGAGACUGGAAUUUACGGUGUAGCGGUGAAAUGCGCAGAUAUCGGGAAGAACACCCGUGGCGAAGGCGGUUCUCUGGGACGGUACUGACGCUGAGACGCGAAAGCGUGGGGAGCGAACAGG
This 253-nucleotide ribosomal RNA is filed under the name uncultured bacterium. RNAcentral describes it as "partial 16S ribosomal RNA". It matches the Rfam family "Bacterial small subunit ribosomal RNA", at positions 524 to 776 of the family's 1533-position model. The record is from RNAcentral.